AACGAACGCUGGCGGCAUGCCUAACACAUGCAAGUCGAACGAGACCUUCGGGUCUAGUGGCGCACGGGUGCGUAACGCGUGGGAACCUGCCCUUAGGUUCGGAAUAACUCCCCGAAAGGGGUGCUAAUACCGGAUAAUGUCUUCGGACCAAAGAUUUAUCGCCUUUGGAUGGGCCCGCGUUGGAUUAGCUAGUUGGUAGGGUAAAAGCCUACCAAGGCGACGAUCCAUAGCUGGUCUGAGAGGAUGAUCAGCCACACUGGGACUGAGACACGGCCCAGACUCCUACGGGAGGCAGCAGUGGGGAAUAUCGGACAAUGGGCGAAAGCCUGAUCCAGCAAUGCCGCGUGAGUGAUGAAGGCCUUAGGGUUGUAAAGCUCUUUUAACCGGGAUGAUAAUGACAGUACCGGGAGAAUAAGCGCCGGCUAACUCCGUG
Molecule: ribosomal RNA, 433 nt
Filed under: uncultured bacterium
Lineage: Bacteria
Description: partial 16S ribosomal RNA
Rfam family: Bacterial small subunit ribosomal RNA
Source: RNAcentral